GCCUGCAUAUUUUGAAGGGCCACAACAGAGAACAUUUCGUACAAUAUCUGAUAGAAAUAAAUAAAUAUGAGGUCAUUCCAUAUGGGGACAUAAAAUUUAGCUAACCAAUGGUUGGUAAGAAGGAUAUACCAAUUUCUGCAUUACGAUCAGGAGUCAUUUGAGGAAUACUAACAAAAGUUGUGGUAUGUAACUUGGUCGGUGGCAACCGUGGUUUCUCAGGCUCGUUAUUUGGUUUGAUAUGUUCAAUUAGAGUUUCUUUAUCAAGCACCCAAUAAAAUUUAUGUAUUAUUUUUCCCUACGAAGGUAGUGAAAGUUUUACUCUAGUAGUAGAGAUUAAAUAUGUAUCCAACAACAUAAGCUUCUUUGCAUAAUAUCAAUAUCAUCACCAUAUACGACUUCCCCGAUUUGUUGUUUAAAGUCAGAGAACUUUGUGAAACAGAGAUAAAUAAUAUAAUUAUGCUUAGAGGAUGAGCUGCGACAACAAUGAGCGAGAGUACAUGCUCAUCAGAUUUUGGAAUCGUAUUUUCCUCUCCAAACUUAGUUGGCCUUGACUCAUGUCCACAAUUUGGACUUUACAAGUCCAAUCGGGAGUGUCAGUUGUUAUUCCUUCAAUAUUCAAUCUUGGUGCCAUAUGUCUUUAUCUUUACAAUGAGAAUCAUAACAUUUAGAGUUCUCUUAAAUUCGUAAACUCUUGGUAAUGGUAAGGCAGGCAUGCAAGGUUAAAUGCUGUAAAUUCUUGAACUCUAGAAUCUCUAUGAGUUUACUGUUAAAGAAGGGAACAAAGUUCAUUACAACAAACCAUCAAACACAUUUUGUACAAUACAGAGCAAAGACGAUAAUAAUACUAACACGCAAUAGAAACUAACAAAUCAAAAAUGAAAGCAAGAGCAAAAGAUCAAAAAAUAUAUUUAGCACAGCAAUUCUUCAAAGAAAUUGAAAUAUCUCAAAGAAGAAACAACAAAGCUGAAACAUCAAAGAAGAAACAACAAAGAAGUGUGCAUGAGCAGAACAAAGAAAAUAAGAGAUUCACAGAAGUACAAUCUACAAAGAAUUGUACAAGAAGAAAAUAAAAGGACAUAGAAGCUGCAAACCGAUGAAAGCAACAAAAGGAAAAUAAAAAAACCCACCAAUUUUAAGCUUCAAUGAGAUGAGUUGUAGAAGCUUAAACAUCAAACAAGAAACAACAAAGAGGUGUGCAUGAGUAGAACAAACAAAAGAGAUGAUUCAUAGAAGUACAAUCAACUUACAAUUGCAUAAAAAGAAAAUAAAAAGAACUUAAAAGUUGCAAACCGAUGAAAGCAACAGAGAAAAAAACAAAAUCCCACCAAUUUAAAGCUUCAAGGAAUUGAGCUGCAGAAGUUAGUUGAGAGAAGGAGUGAUGGUUCACUUUUGAUUUGUUUGAGUAUAUACGUAAAGGCAACUACUACAAUGUAUACACAAAUUUCUAUUAUUUAGAAGCAUGAUGACGACCAACGACCAGUGGCAAAAAGGAUAAUAAAUCAAAUAUACAAGGACAAAUUAUAACUACUAUACUAAAAUUUGUUGAUAUUCGUGCACUCAUGCUCAGACCAAGGCUCUAUUUUUUUUUUAAUACUCUAGAAGUAUCUACAUCUUUCUCCACUCUUCCUAUGAAAAUAAAUAAAUAUCUCAUUUGCAUCAAUUUUCUUAGACUUUCAAGACUAAACAGUUGAGAGUGUUUCUAGGUAUGUUUUAUUCACAUUUUUGCUUAAAUCUCUUCGGUUAACUUUCCCAAUUUUCAAUUUUGAGUGAUCAUUUCUUUUUUCUUGCUCUUAAUCAGUCCUUUUCAAAUAUUCAAAGAUUCUAUUUUCUUGCUCUUAAUCAGUCCUUUUGAAAUAUAUUCAAAGAUGGCUUCUGUUCACUUUCUUAAUUGGAUAUUACAACCCUAGGUCAAAAAGGAAAGUUAUAUAGUAAUCUCAAGCAAUAGGAAUAAUUAUAACAUUGGCUAUGAAUUUAAGCCAUCAAAUUGGGAAAUCUGACGAUAACGGAGAGAAGAUAGGACAAAUAUUGAGAGAAAAGCUAACCUGAAAUAGCACCAUUUAGAUGAGAAGAUGAAGAGAACUCAAAGAACUGUCUUGAAAAGAAAAGGUUCAAGAAUUAUGACAUAUACCGAGAGUAUCACUUGUUGCUUUGUGCAAACUAUAGAAGUGUAAAAAGAAGCAGAUUUGAACAAAAAUUGAGAGAGAAUCAUUCCUUAAAUUGUAAAAAAAAAGAGCUAAAAGUUUUCUUAUGAGUUCUCUGUUUUGUUUCCCAGAAGAAGCAAAUAUUGAAAAAAAUAACUUACCCAAAUUCGGAAAUAAAAAAAUAAAAAAAAUCAGAACUGUGUGUUUUCUUCUAUCUUCUAUUUUCUUAAAAUUAUCUCUCACUUAGAUUAUGGAUAAUUGAGAUUUCUAUGUUCUGUUGUGCUCGUGUUUAAUGAUAUAACAGAGCCUUCAUCUUUAGUAUUGAGACACUCAUAUAGCUAAAGCAUCACGACAAAGGCAGAUACAAAAAGUACAUAAAGAUUCAAACUUUAUGAACAAAAACCAGUAUAUCAAAGUGAAGAACCCCACAUACAAGAAAAUUGAGAUAUGUC
RNAcentral lists this long non-coding RNA (2593 nucleotides) under Solanum tuberosum (potato). RNAcentral's name for it is "long non-coding RNA (STUB_LNC011414)". The record is from RNAcentral. Lineage: Eukaryota; Viridiplantae; Streptophyta; Magnoliopsida; Solanales; Solanaceae.